Molecule: non-coding RNA, 626 nt
Organism: Pelobates cultripes (western spadefoot toad)
Lineage: Eukaryota; Metazoa; Chordata; Amphibia; Anura; Pelobatidae
Source: the annotation of a GenBank genome assembly
GCCCGAACGCCAUGAGGGUAGGGGAAGCCUGGCAGUCUUUGCCCUUUGUUUGUGAGCUUCAGUGGUUAUUGUCCAAGCAUUGCCGCGUAGGUGCUGGAACUCAUGAGAGAAAUGCUCAUAAUCUGCAACUGGAGGACAUACAUACCAGAUAAGCAGCCCACUGAACGGCAUGUACCCACUCCCUGCAAGUUAACAACAGAGAGUGGGUAAUAAAAGCCCAUAUCUCACACAAUCCUUUUCUACACACACUACACCACCUACACACAAGCUUUACCCCUACACACACUAUACACACACACAUAGUAAACACAUAUAUCAACACCGAUUAUACAUUGUAAAUGCACACUUUAUUCCUUAUACACACUACACAACAGCCCCUAUACACAUACACUUAACUCCCUACAUAUACACAGUACUUUUCUACACACACGCUAUACCACCUACACACAAGCUAUACCCCCUAAACACACUAUACACACACAUAAUAAACACAUAUAUCAACACAGACACAAACUAUACAUUGUAUAUUCCUUAUACAGUUACAUAGGCUGAAAAGAGAUGUGUGUCGAUCAAGUUCAGUCUUUCUCACAUUAGUUUUUUGCUGUUGAUCCCUUUUUUUGUUUUGC